UCCGAAGGGUGCAAGCGUUACUCGGAAUUACUGGGCGUAAAGCGCGCGUAGGUGGUUCGUUAAGUCUGAUGUGAAAGCCCUGGGCUCAACCUGGGAAUGGCAUUGGAAACUGGCGACCUAGAGUGCGGUAGAGGGUAGUGGAAUUCCCGGUGUAGCAGUGAAAUGCGUAGAGAUCGGGAGGAACAUCUGUGGCGAAGGCGACUGCCUGGACCAGCACUGACACUGAGGCACGAAAGCGUGGGGAGCAAACAGG
Molecule: ribosomal RNA, 253 nt
Filed under: uncultured bacterium
Lineage: Bacteria
Description: partial 16S ribosomal RNA
Rfam family: Bacterial small subunit ribosomal RNA
Source: RNAcentral